This 1705-nucleotide unclassified non-coding RNA is filed under the name Leishmania donovani. Its description in RNAcentral is "gene:LdHU3.30.3230(CDS-product:hypothetical_prote in_conserved)". The record is from RNAcentral. Lineage: Eukaryota; Euglenozoa; Kinetoplastea; Trypanosomatida; Trypanosomatidae.
CACCACGGCGCAUACCGGGGCUCACUUUCUCCAGCCCACUUGCUGUUGCUUUGCCGGCCGCAUCUCUCACCCUCUUUCUCGCGGCUGUACAUCGCACUUUCUUUCACUAGGGUAUUGCCACCACCGCCGCACCACCACACCCAGCACCACCACCAGCAGCAGCACGGGGGACGCGGAAAUGUCCGCGCACGACUCCUCAGCGGUGGUCCUCAUCGCCCACAUGAAUGACAUUGAGCGGCAGCGCCGCGUGCUGAGCAUGAGCCAAAGGGAACAGGAGGCCAAGAUCGCCUUUACCACCGCAGAGAAGGAGCAGCUGGUGCAGGCCGCCAAGGCUGCGGAAGCCGAGGAGGCGCAGCUGAAAGACGACCUCGAGGUCCUGGCGGCAGAGCAGCAGCAACUGGAGUUGCAGAAGAUGGAGGCCACCGACCGCCUACGCAAGACGCAGGCAGAAGAAGCGCUGCACACGGCAGCCAUCGAGGUCGACCUGCAAACGCUGGCGAAGGAAAAGGUCCUUUGGCACGAACGGGCACAGGACCUGGAGUCGUUGCGGCGCUCGUGGGAGGAGGACGCCGCUACGUCGUCCUGCAUCGGCGCGCUGCGCCAAGAGAGCGAGAUGCUCGCGCUGUUGAAGACAGAAAAGACAGCUGUUGAGGAUGCGUUGGCAGAGACCAUGGCAGCUAUUGAGAAAGUGCGAGCUGAGCAGCAGGCUCGGCUCACGUGCGUCGGCCCCAUUGGUGCCGCUGCCGAUGCGGUGCAGUGUUCUGGGCUAGCUAGGGCGCUGGCAUCUAUGCACGACUCGGCUUUGAGCGAUGGCAACUCUGCAACCGUCAACGACGACGACUCGGCAGCCGCUCUCGAGGAGGAGAUGAAGCGGGCUGACUACGAGGCCGCGCAGGCGACAGCUCGUCAUGGGCGAACCAUUGCAGUCUUGCAAAGAGAAGUGGACGCGCUUUCCACCCGCGCCGGCGAGCUGCAGCAGCUGCUCUCCAGUAUCGGGGCGUCGCGGCAGGAGGUGCUUUCCCGCACGCGAGACCUCCAGCACUGCAAGGAGACGGGUCUUUGCCGUCGCUGCUUCACGUAAGGUAUGACUUGUGAGGGGCGACAAUCCGAGAUGGCGGGAGUGUUUUCUUUUUCUUCCUGUGCCACCGUAUUCGGUGGCUGUCUCUCUCUUUCUUUUUUUCCUUCUGCUGUGCUUCUUCAUGUGGCUUACCUUCAUGAGUGCUCAUCUGCUAAUUCGUUCAAACGACCGAGGCGACUUUGUGCUGGACGCCCCUGCACCACACACACACACACAUACACAGAGAGAAAGAGAGAACUUGUGCCGUGCAGGAAAAUUAAGGGCUACCGUUCCGCUCGGACGUAGCGGUGCAGCUUUGCCGCACUCAGUUGCACAACAGAGGGUGCCAAUUUGCAGAAAUCCGACCCUGAUGCGCGUGUAGGGAAGUGAGAGGCAGUGUGCGCACUGUAGCUUUCCUGCUGGCUUCUUCGACGCGCUCGCCCUUCUCCUGCCAGCACAUUUGACCUUUCUUGCCGGCGUCUGCCUCACUCGCUCUUCUCAUCUUGACGUGCGUGUCUGUUCACAACACCCGCUCUGGUGCUGCUUUGUGUGAUGCGUUGUUGCACCAUCCUGCGCGCCACCACAUUGCACGCCCGCGCAACUGUGGUUCCCUUUACCACCUCCUCUUCCUGCUAUCGCGCUCUCGAG